RNAcentral lists this ribosomal RNA (96 nucleotides) under Triticum aestivum (bread wheat). RNAcentral describes it as "partial small subunit ribosomal RNA". The record is from RNAcentral. Lineage: Eukaryota; Viridiplantae; Streptophyta; Magnoliopsida; Poales; Poaceae.
AUGUGCGUUCCAUGGAAGCCCUUAACUAUGUACUCCCUUCGUUCCUUUUUAGUUCGCAUAUACGAUUUGUCUAAAGUCAAGGCUUGCAAAGUUUGA